CCUACGGGAGGCUGCAGUGGGGAAUAUUGGACAAUGGGCGAAAGCCUGAUCCAGCCAUGCCGCGUGUGUGAAGAAGGCCUUCGGGUUGUAAAGCACUUUCAGUGGGGAAGAAAGCCUUGGGGCUAAUACCCUCGAGGAAGGACAUCACCCACAGAAGAAGCACCGGCUAACUCCGUGCCAGCAGCCGCGGUAAUACGGAGGGUGCGAGCGUUAAUCGGAAUUACUGGGCGUAAAGCGCGCGUAGGCGGUCUGAUAAGCCGGUUGUGAAAGCCCCGGGCUCAACCUGGGAACGGCAUCCGGAACUGUCAGGCUAGAGUGCAGGAGAGGAAGGUAGAAUUCCCGGUGUAGCGGUGAAAGGCGUAGAGAUCGGGAGGAAUACCAGUGGCGAAGGCGGCCUUCUGGACUGACACUGACGCUGAGGUGCGAAAGCGUGGGUAGCAAACAGGAUUAGAUACCCUGUAGUC
RNAcentral lists this ribosomal RNA (464 nucleotides) under Vreelandella stevensii. RNAcentral describes it as "partial 16S ribosomal RNA". It matches the Rfam family "Bacterial small subunit ribosomal RNA", at positions 338 to 795 of the family's 1533-position model. The record is from RNAcentral. Lineage: Bacteria; Pseudomonadati; Pseudomonadota; Gammaproteobacteria; Oceanospirillales; Halomonadaceae.